GCAUAUCAAUAAGCGGAGGAAAAGAAACCAACAGGGAUUGCCCUAGUAACGGCGAGUGAAGCGGCAACAGCUCAAAUUUGAAAUCUGGCCCUCGGGUCCGAGUUGUAAUUUGUAGAGGAUGUUUUUGGUGAGGUACCUUCCGAGUUCCCUGGAACGGGACGCCAUAGAGGGUGAGAGCCCCGUCUGGUUGGAUACCGAUCCUCUGUAAAACUCCUUCAACGAGUCGAGUAGUUUGGGAAUGCUGCUCUAAAUGGGAGGUAUAUGUCUUCUAAAGCUAAAUAUUGGCCAGAGACCGAUAGCGCACAAGUAGAGUGAUCGAAAGAUGAAAAGCACUUUGAAAAGAGAGUUAAAAAGUACGUGAAAUUGUUGAAAGGGAAGCGCUUAUGACCAGACUUGGACUUGGUUGAUCAUCCUGGGUUCUCCCUGGUGCACUCUUCCAGUUCAGGCCAGCAUCAGUUCAUCGCGGGGGAUAAAGGCUUCGGGAAUGUGGCUCCCUCGGGAGUGUUAUAACCCGUUGUGUAAUACCCUGCUUUGGACUGAGGUUCGCGCAUCUGCAAGGAUGCUGGCGUAAUGGUCAUCAGCGACCCGUCUUGAAACACGGACCAAGGAGUCGUCUUCGUAUGCGAGUGUUCGGGUGUUAAACCCCUACGCGUAAUGAAAGUGAACGCAGGUGAGAGCUUCGGCGCAUCAUCGACCGAUCCUGAUGUUCUCGGAUGGAUUUGAGUAAGAGCAUACGGGGCCGGACCCGAAAGAAGGUGAACUAUGCUUGUAUAGGGUGAAGCCAGAGGAAACUCUGGUGGAGGCUCGCAGCGGUUCUGACGUGCAAAUCGAUCGUCAAAUAUGAGCAUGGGGGCGAAAGACUAAUCGAACCUUCUAGUAGCUGGUUUCCGCC
RNAcentral lists this ribosomal RNA (892 nucleotides) under Cylindrocladiella kurandica. RNAcentral's name for it is "LSU rRNA". It matches the Rfam family "Eukaryotic large subunit ribosomal RNA", at positions 38 to 962 of the family's 3401-position model. The record is from RNAcentral. Lineage: Eukaryota; Fungi; Ascomycota; Sordariomycetes; Hypocreales; Nectriaceae.